Molecule: small nuclear RNA, 107 nt
Organism: Mesoplodon densirostris (Blainville's beaked whale)
Lineage: Eukaryota; Metazoa; Chordata; Mammalia; Artiodactyla; Ziphiidae
Source: RefSeq, a predicted model, not a curated record
GUGCUCGCUUUGGCAGAACAUAUACUAAAAUUGGAACUAUACAGAGAAGAUUAGCAUGGCCCUUGUAGAAGGAUGAUACACAAAAUCGUGAAGCGUUCCAUAUUUUU